CCUACGGGUGGCAGCAGUAGGGAAUCUUCCACAAUGGGCGAAAGCCUGAUGGAGCAACGCCGCGUGGGUGAAGAAGGUCUUCGGAUCGUAAAACCCUGUUGUUAGAGAAGAAAGUGCGUGAGAGUAACUGUUCACGUUUCGACGGUAUCUAACCAGAAAGCCACGGCUAACUACGUGCCAGCAGCCGCGGUAAUACGUAGGUGGCAAGCGUUAUCCGGAUUUAUUGGGCGUAAAGGGAACGCAGGCGGCAUGUAAAGUCAGGUGUUAAAGGCGCAGGCUCAACCUGUGUAUGGCAGUUGAUACUUGCAAGCUGGAAUGCGGUAGAGGUAAAGGGAAUGCCUGGUGUAGCGGUGAAAUGCUUAGAUAUCAGGAGGAACAUCGGUGGCGUAAGCGCUUUACUGGGCCGUAAUUGACGCUGAGGAACGAAAGCCAGGGUAGCAAAUGGGAUUAGAUACCCUGGUAGUC
Molecule: ribosomal RNA, 465 nt
Filed under: uncultured bacterium
Lineage: Bacteria
Description: partial 16S ribosomal RNA
Rfam family: Bacterial small subunit ribosomal RNA
Source: RNAcentral